Molecule: transfer RNA, 57 nt
Filed under: Agama boulengeri
Lineage: Eukaryota; Metazoa; Chordata; Lepidosauria; Squamata; Agamidae
Description: tRNA-Ser
Source: RNAcentral
GAGACGCUUCACUGAACUGCUAAAUCAAUCCACCGGGCCUAAACGUCCGGGCUUCUC